RNAcentral lists this long non-coding RNA (302 nucleotides) under Salvia miltiorrhiza (redroot sage). RNAcentral describes it as "long non-coding RNA (SMIL_LNC009891)". Lineage: Eukaryota; Viridiplantae; Streptophyta; Magnoliopsida; Lamiales; Lamiaceae. The record is from RNAcentral.
UUGACGGCACCUACGAUUUUCCGAAAAAGGGGAUCAUUUUUUUUUGUUUUUUCAUGAGAUUCCUUCGUGCUUGAUUUUAAUGGGGUUGGUGAUUGUGGAUUUGGGUGAGGAAGGUGAAGUCUGGUUUGAGAGAGAGAGAGAUCGAGGAAGGUGAAGUUUGGUUUAGGUGAGGAAGGUUGGUUUGAGAGAGAGAGAGAGAGGAAGUGCCGUCGUCGCCGGCGGUCAGAUGUAGUGAGAAGUUAGGUUGAAGAAGAAGAAGUUAAGUUGAAGGAAUUAACUUAUUAAUUUUGAUGAACUACAAU